GAGUUUCUGGGGUGUGCGGGUCGUUUACAGGCUUUGGCCAACGUUCAGUAUGACCUGUCAAUCCGUGGAGAGGCGGUGAGCAAGCCAGCCCUGAGCAGGACGCCUAAAGUCCCUCCCGACGACAAGAUUAGCCUUCAGGUCAUCUGUCCUGAAACAAACCGGCAUCCCGGAAAGUAU
RNAcentral lists this non-coding RNA (177 nucleotides) under Chloroflexota bacterium. RNAcentral's name for it is "Chloroflexi bacterium (cold seep metagenome) 6S RNA". It matches the Rfam family "6S / SsrS RNA". From Rfam's summary of the family: E. coli 6S RNA was the first non coding RNA to be sequenced, but its function was unknown until recently. The record is from RNAcentral. Lineage: Bacteria; Bacillati; Chloroflexota.